AAUUCAUGUUAUGGGCACUUCCUUAAAAUCAACUUAAAUAGUUCUCAUGCUUCGUAUAGGGAUUCACCUUUAUAUUGCAUAAGGUUAGUGAUUUCUCACUUAAGCUU
This is a non-coding RNA of Gossypium arboreum, 107 nucleotides long. Lineage: Eukaryota; Viridiplantae; Streptophyta; Magnoliopsida; Malvales; Malvaceae. The record is from Rfam.